AAUUGUGCUUCAAGAAUAUCUCCUUGGGAGAUGACAGAGAGUAGGAGAAGCGUCUCAUCACGUGCUGGCUGAUAUUUAGAAAAUAAACAGAAUUGUGGGAAAGGCUUCUCUUAGCUUAUAAUUGAUGGCGAAACCAGCUUUCAAUCCCUGUCAGAGAAGCUCCUUUUGACAGUGUGCAGCAGUUACUGCAGAGACUUACAACUUGUCAAGAUGCAGAGAACAAAUGUCUGUGCAGUGCUCAGCCACAGCUGACUCCAAAGCUCCAGGAUGUUGUAUAAGAGGAGGAGACAGGAUUAAAUGCCUGGGGUCAGAAAGGACUGCUAUGAGACACUGUCUUCUGACGUGCCAUGCCUGGUGCAGUGAUAAACUCACAGCCUAUACGAAUGCUUACACAGAACUGCACAAGUUCAAGCCAGUCCCUAUUGCAGCAUCAAGGAGAGAGAACCCC
Molecule: long non-coding RNA, 448 nt
Filed under: Mus musculus (house mouse)
Lineage: Eukaryota; Metazoa; Chordata; Mammalia; Rodentia; Muridae
Description: predicted gene, 47243
Source: RNAcentral